This 390-nucleotide ribosomal RNA is filed under the name Triticum aestivum (bread wheat). RNAcentral describes it as "partial small subunit ribosomal RNA". Lineage: Eukaryota; Viridiplantae; Streptophyta; Magnoliopsida; Poales; Poaceae. The record is from RNAcentral.
AUGGUUGAUCGAAUGGACAAUAUGUUAGUUGACCCAGGUGGUCCCUGUCCUCCACCAAUUGAUGAAGAACCAACUUCCUCUGCCAAGGCUUUCUAUAGGAUGGUUAGCAGUGCUGAUGAAAUUGUCCAUGAGAACACAACACACUCGCGUCUUUCUACAAUAGCGCGUUUGCUAGCAAUGAAAUCUCAGUAUAAUAUGUCAAUUGCAGAAUAUGAUGAUGUGUUACAAAUCAUCCAUGAACUUAUACCUCCAGGUGCUAACUUGUCCGAGGACUUCUACCAAUCUAAGAAACUCUUAAAGGUGACGGGUAUGGUUGUUUCUUCACAUGUGCUUACUUUUAUGAUCGACACCAUUAUCCUACCAGUUAAUGCUGCUUGCCUUGUUGUUUAG